RNAcentral lists this long non-coding RNA (769 nucleotides) under Rattus norvegicus (Norway rat). Its description in RNAcentral is "long non-coding RNA NONRATT015172". Lineage: Eukaryota; Metazoa; Chordata; Mammalia; Rodentia; Muridae. The record is from RNAcentral.
ACGAGCGGGGACGAGCAGUGUGCAGGCGGCGAGCUCGGGCCCCUUCCGCGACUCCCGAGCGCGAGCCCGCUUCCUGGAGCCUACAAGAGCGGCAGCGGCAAAGGCAGAGCUUCGCGAGGGCGACAGUCGACUGCUGUGAGUGCUCUCGGAGAGGCCCAGGCGGCGGCGGUUCCUCUCGGGUUACGGUGAAGAAUGUCAGCCACUAGCGUGGAUCAGAGACCUAAAGGGCAAGGAAAUAAAGUUUCAGUACAAAAUGGUUCGAUUCAUCAAAAAGAUGCUGUAAAUGAUGAUGAUUUUGAGCCAUACUUAAGUAGCCAGACAAAUCAGGAGAGAAAUAGAAACAAGCAAUAACCACCGUGUGGAGAUGUCCUAUUAAAAUGACAACACUAAUGAUGUAGACUCUGGAAAUGCCUAAUAAGUCAAAGAAGACGUUAUUAAAGCUUUUUGUUUUCUGCUUAAGGUGACAUCUUUGAACCCUUUUAACACAAAAUUGACUCUUCUUGUAAUGGUUUUCAUCAGCGCAUCUGCCCUUAUUCUCUCACCAAACACACUUGAGAACUGUAACUUCAUCAAGCACUUUGUGUCCUGAAGCUUUUACCAGUACCUGCUGUCUUUUGUAAUUAUGCAUCCUAGCUAAGGCACAGAAGACUGAAUGAAUUGCAAGGAUUCAUUAACUCUUUGAAUUUGUUAAGUACUAACAGUUAACCAAUAGAAGUGGUUCAAUGAUGUAAGAGUCUCACUGCUUCAAUCUUUUCAUUGUUGUAGUUUU